UUGCUCGCUUCGGCAGCACAUAUACUAAAAUUGGAACGAUACAGAGAAGAUUAGCAUGGCCCCUGCGCAAGGAAAUCUGGCCUCUUUAAACAGAUCCACGCACUGGUU
RNAcentral lists this small nuclear RNA (108 nucleotides) under Jaculus jaculus (lesser Egyptian jerboa). The record is from RNAcentral. Lineage: Eukaryota; Metazoa; Chordata; Mammalia; Rodentia; Dipodidae.